GACGAACGCUGGCGGUGUGCCUAAUACAUGCAAGCUGAGCGAUGAAGAUUGGUGCUUGCACCAAUUUGAAGAGCAGCGAACGGGUGAGUAACGCGUGGGGAAUCUGCCUUUGAGCGGGGGACAACAUUUGGAAACGAAUGCUAAUACCGCAUAACAACUUUAAACAUAAGUUUUAAGUUUGAAAGAUGCAAUUGCAUCACUCAAAGAUGAUCCCGCGUUGUAUUAGCUAGUUGGUGAGGUAAAGGCUCACCAAGGCGAUGAUACAUAGCCGACCUGAGAGGGUGAUCGGCCACAUUGGGACUGAGACACGGCCCAAACUCCUACGGGAGGCAGCAGUAGGGAAUCUUCGGCAAUGGACGAAAGUCUGACCGAGCAACGCCGCGUGAGUGAAGAAGGGUUUCGGAUCGUAAAACUCUGUUGGUAGAGAAGAACGUUGGUGAGAGUGGAAAGCUCAUCAAGUGACGGUAACUACACAGAAAGGGACGGCUAACUACGUG
This 497-nucleotide ribosomal RNA is filed under the name uncultured bacterium. RNAcentral's name for it is "partial 16S ribosomal RNA". It matches the Rfam family "Bacterial small subunit ribosomal RNA", at positions 28 to 507 of the family's 1533-position model. The record is from RNAcentral.